CUGUUUCCUGGUGCUUUCCUCUGUGAAUCUAGGGUCUAAUUCCCUUUCCUUCCUCAUUUCGGUCUUGACUCUCUCCUCCUCCCCCCUGGCAGUGCUCGCUGUGUCAGCCGUGAGAGGCUCCGUUCAGCUCCGAGCCCAGCCCCGUGCGCCUCCCAGCACCAUGAUGGUUUCCUUCAUUCUCUGCCUUUUCCCUGCUCUCCUAGCUACAACGAGUGCACAAGGUCAGCCCCUGACGUGCAACAAGUGCUCCGGCACAGCGAAUUCCUGCAAGGAUACUAAAGAGACAUGCACAGUAAACACGGCUACUCGUGGCUGCAAUUCGGCAGCAGAAGAAAAUACACUGGAUGGGACAAAGAUCACUCUCUUCUCCAAAGGCUGUCUAAGUGACUAUAAUAGUGGCAUAAAAAGCCCCAUCACUUUCACUGUUGGGAAGGACAAGUAUGUGAGGAUCAACACUGAAGGAUGCAACAACGCAGAUAAAUGUAAUGUGAAUGUGCUGGAAGUGCCCACGGUGGACUCUACCGUAAAAGAGGUGCAGUGCCCAACCUGCUUUGCUCUGAACGGCGAACCCUGCAACACCCAAACCAUCCCUUGUACAGGGAAUGAGGACCAUUGCGUCGAUUUCGUUGGGAUCCUAACGAAAGAGUCAGCUGAUGCACCAGUUUCAAUAUUUGCUGCAAAAGGCUGCGGUUCUGCGUCUACAACAAACAUAAAACCUGGAACCUCCCUG
Molecule: long non-coding RNA, 730 nt
Filed under: Chrysemys picta bellii (western painted turtle)
Lineage: Eukaryota; Metazoa; Chordata; Testudines; Emydidae
Description: lncRNA (ENSCPBG00000026425.1)
Source: RNAcentral